GCCGCCUUAGCUCAGUGGUAGAGCAGUUGCUUUGUAAGCAUCAGGUCGUCGGUCCGAAUCCGACAGGCGGCU
RNAcentral lists this transfer RNA (72 nucleotides) under Candidatus Berkelbacteria bacterium RIFCSPHIGHO2_12_FULL_50_11. RNAcentral describes it as "tRNA-Thr". It matches the Rfam family "tRNA". From Rfam's summary of the family: Transfer RNA (tRNA) molecules are approximately 80 nucleotides in length. Their secondary structure includes four short double-helical elements and three loops (D, anti-codon, and T loops). The record is from RNAcentral. RNAcentral also lists the same sequence under 2 other names. Lineage: Bacteria; Candidatus Berkelbacteria.